UAACACCAGCGCCACGAGUGGGGACCAGUAUUAUUGGGCCUAAAGCAUCUGUAGCCGGAUUAGUAAAUCCUUUGUGAAAUCAUGGGGCUUAACCUUAUGGCGUGCAGAGGAGACUGCUGAUCUUGAGACCGGGAGGAGUUAGAGGUAUGCACUGGGUAGUGGUAAAAUGCUAUGAUCCUUUGUGGACCACCUGUGGCGAAGGCGUCUAACUAGAACGGGUCUGACGGUGAGAGAUGAAAGCUGGGGGAGCGAUCCGGAUUAGAUACCCGAGUAGUCCCAGCCGUAAACGCUGCGAGCAAGGUGUUGCGUAUUCUACGAGAAUAUGCAGUGUCGAAGAGAAGCCGUUAAGCUCGCCGCCUGGGAAGUACGGUCGCAAGACUG
This 381-nucleotide ribosomal RNA is filed under the name uncultured Halobacteria archaeon. RNAcentral describes it as "bacterial SSU rRNA". It matches the Rfam family "Archaeal small subunit ribosomal RNA", at positions 471 to 851 of the family's 1478-position model. Lineage: Archaea; Methanobacteriati; Methanobacteriota; Halobacteria. The record is from RNAcentral.